This is a long non-coding RNA of Pseudopodoces humilis (Tibetan ground-tit), 395 nucleotides long. RefSeq lists it as uncharacterized. The record is from RefSeq and is a predicted model, not a curated record. NCBI's taxonomy places the organism in Eukaryota, Metazoa, Chordata, Aves, Passeriformes, Paridae.
CUGUGGAGUAAACAGCAGCACGAACUGAGCCACGUGGAGGCAUGGGAGUAGCUUUUGGUUCCAGGUUUGUGCUUCACUGGACCUGACAGACAGAGAGCCCCAUGGUGAGAACAUGCAAACUCUUGUUUCUGGCUGUAUCCAUAAAUCAUGCUGCAGGCCACCUCUGCCUUACAUUGAACCUCCCUUGGCCAGGCUGGAGAGAGGCUCCCUUUUUGCCCUUAUGAAUCACUUUUCUCAGGCCAGUUGCCUGCAUCGCUGAGCACAUGUGUAGGUGUGUGUGAGAGGAGAGGAUUAUUUUCUUCAGUCAGGUUUUACAUCAUGAAGGAAGAACUUCCUUGGCCUUGCUUGGUGGUUUCCUUCAGUGAAGUCCUGCAUUUCUUGUGGCUCAAGUGAAU